UGGGGAAUAUUGCACAAUGGGCGCAAGCCUGAUGCAGCCAUGCCGCGUGUAUGAAGAAGGCUUUCGGGUUGUAAAGUACUUUCAGUCGGGAGGAAGGUGGUAAGGUUAAUAACCUUAUCAAUUGACGUUACCGACAGAAGAAGCACCGGCUAACUCCGUGCCAGCAGCCGCGGUAAUACGGAGGGUGCAAGCGUUAAUCGGAAUUACUGGGCGUAAAGCGCACGCAGGCGGUUGAUUGAGUCAGAUGUGAAAUCCCCGGGCUUAACCCGGGAAUUGCAUCUGAUACUGGUCAGCUAGAGUCUUGUAGAGGGGGGUAGAAUUCCAUGUGUAGCGGUGAAAUGCGUAGAGAUCUGGAGGAAUACCGGUGGCGAAGGCGGCCCCCUGGACAAAGACUGACGCUCAGGUGCGAAAGCGUGGGGAGCAAACAGG
This 429-nucleotide ribosomal RNA is filed under the name Chloroflexota bacterium. RNAcentral's name for it is "Chloroflexi bacterium partial 16S ribosomal RNA". It matches the Rfam family "Bacterial small subunit ribosomal RNA", at positions 355 to 776 of the family's 1533-position model. The record is from RNAcentral. Lineage: Bacteria; Bacillati; Chloroflexota.